UUCUGCUUUAUGUGCGCAUCCUCUACCUAUUAAGUGUUAAUUAAAUUAAAGGGUUUCUUUUUAAAAUCUUCUAUAACUAAUAAAAAAA
RNAcentral lists this ribosomal RNA (88 nucleotides) under Plasmodium knowlesi. RNAcentral describes it as "partial small subunit ribosomal RNA". Lineage: Eukaryota; Apicomplexa; Aconoidasida; Haemosporida; Plasmodiidae. The record is from RNAcentral.